AGGCAAGAUGUUGGCAUAGCUGAUUAUAUUCAAUGACGUCAGCUCUGCCACACGAUGCCACC
This 62-nucleotide microRNA precursor is filed under the name Eisenia fetida (common brandling worm). RNAcentral describes it as "Efe-Mir-31_pre stem-loop". Lineage: Eukaryota; Metazoa; Annelida; Clitellata; Crassiclitellata; Lumbricidae. The record is from RNAcentral.